RNAcentral lists this ribosomal RNA (277 nucleotides) under uncultured bacterium. Its description in RNAcentral is "partial 16S ribosomal RNA". It matches the Rfam family "Bacterial small subunit ribosomal RNA", at positions 28 to 311 of the family's 1533-position model. The record is from RNAcentral.
GAUAAACGCUGGCGGCGUGCCUAACACAUGCAAGUCGAACGCCCUCUCGGGCAACUGAGAGGGAGUGGCGGACGGGUGAGCAACACGUGGGUACCUACCCCCAAGUGAGGAAUACCGGCGAGAAAUCGCCGACAAUACCGCAUAGGCUUCUCGGCAACGGGAAGCAAAGCUCGGCAACGGGCGCUUGAGGAUGGGCCUGCGGCUGAUUAGCUGGUUGGUGGGGUAAUGGCCUACCAAGGCUGCGAUCAGUAGCUGGUCUGAGAGGACGAUCAGCCAC